GAAAUGCCUCCAUGAGAUCCAACUGUAAGGCAUUUUCCCAAUUAGUGAUCAAGGGGGAAAGGCCCCUUGUGGGUGGGACCAUCUCUGGGCUGGUAGUCUU
Molecule: microRNA precursor, 100 nt
Filed under: Mus musculus (house mouse)
Lineage: Eukaryota; Metazoa; Chordata; Mammalia; Rodentia; Muridae
Description: predicted gene, 55247 (ENSMUSG00002075819.1)
Source: RNAcentral